Molecule: ribosomal RNA, 537 nt
Filed under: uncultured bacterium
Lineage: Bacteria
Description: bacterial SSU rRNA
Rfam family: Bacterial small subunit ribosomal RNA
Source: RNAcentral
ACUGAAUAGAUACCCAGGUAGUCCAUGCUGUAAACGAUGAGAACUAGAUGUUAGGGGGCAUGACCUCUUAGUAUCGAAGCUAACGCGAUAAGUUCUCCGCCUGGGGAGUACGGCCGCAAGGUUAAAACUCAAAGAAAUUGACGGGGGCCCGCACAAGCGGUGGAGCAUGUGGUUUAAUUCGAUGCAACGCGAAGAACCUUACCUACCUUUGAAUCCACGGAACCUAGCAGAGAUGUUGGGGUGCCUUCGGGAGCCGUGAGACAGGUGCUGCAUGGCUGUCGUCAGCUCGUGUCGUGAGAUGUUGGGUUAAGUCCCGUAACGAGCGCAACCCUUGUCCUUAGUUGCCAUCAGGUUAUGCUGGGCACUUUAAGGAGACUGCCGGUGAUAAACCGGAGGAAGGUGGGGAUGACGUCAAGUCCUCAUGGCCCUUACAGGUAGGGCUACACACGUGCUACAAUGGGCAGUACAGAGGGAAGCCAACCCGCGAGGGGAGCGAAUCUCAUAAAGCUGUUCGUAGUCCGGAUUGGAGUCUGCAAC